Molecule: long non-coding RNA, 1172 nt
Organism: Vespa mandarinia (Asian giant hornet)
Lineage: Eukaryota; Metazoa; Arthropoda; Insecta; Hymenoptera; Vespidae
Source: RefSeq, a predicted model, not a curated record
CUCGUUUGCACACGCGGAACGUACGACGAUCGCGACGAGAAGUGUCGUUUGGUUAUAUGCGUUUCUAUCUCCUCCUCCUUCACUGCCGCUACUUGUCCCUACGUGAGAGAGAAUCCCUUUACUUUUGCGACAAAUCAAGGAUAUUUCUUGUUCGCGUUUCUUCGACGUACGACGUCGAAAGAAAAGAAACGAAAAGAAAAGAAAAGAAAAGAAAAGAAAAGAAAAACAAAAUGAAAGAAAGAAAAGAAAAAAAGCAUUCGAAUGAAAGAACGAAAAAAACUUUCUCAGGAAUGUAACACAAAGAUUACUACUAUUCUAUGUAUGUAGACUUACAAGUAAGCAUUGGUAGAGAAGAAAACCGAUUGAGAGGAACGAAAGGAAACACGAAAGGAGAAAAAAAGAAGUCGAGGUUAAUCCUUUACUUCGAGGAACAGAAGGAGAUCGGCUGUUUGCAGACCUCGCAAGGCUUAAGGAAUUGCAAUGGCGGGUUAGGGAGCUUGGCUUGAGAGUCUGAGAGCAGCACCAGCACCAGCACCAGUAACCAGUAACCAGUACCAGUACCAGCAUCACCAUCACCAUCACCAUCACCACCAGUAGCAACAGCACCAAGCAAAGGAGGAGGGUGCGGCUGCCUCGAGCAUGAUCCCCUAAGCCAAGGCUAAGAGGCUAUUAGUUAGCUCUGCUAGCUGCGACAUAACCCCUAAGACUAACACAGUACUUACACUUCCUCCUUCUCUUGGAAUAUCCAACAAACCAUCGUUCCCCGAUGUUUGCUGUCGUAUGACGAAUUUCUGGAUCGAUCUUACGUUAAAUCUCGACUAUCAUUAUAAUGAUAAUGAUUAUGAUCAUGAUCAUGAGAUCAUGAUAGAUGAUCAUUUUGAGGGAUCAAAAUAGUUAUAUAUCAUCUUUUAGUUGUCACGAAGAAUACCAAAUGGAUCUUUUUUGUUUUAAAUAAGUAUAAUUAAAAAUAUAUCUGUAAUCAUGAUCAUGAUAAUGAUGACGACGACGACGACGAUAACGAUGAUCAUUGUUUAUAACAAAUCGUUAAUUAAUUAUUAAAUAUGACCAAAUAAUAAAUCUGGUUUUUAAUGAUGUUUAAAAUUAAUCGUUAAAUAGAAAAAUAAUUUUGUUUAUUAAUUAUCGAUUAAUUUGCGUUAUUUCAUAAGUGUCAG